AACGUAGGGGGCGAGCGUUGCCCGGAUUCACUGGGCGUAAAGCGGGUGUAGGCGGUCCAUUAAGUCGGAUGUGAAAUCUCACGGCCCAACCGUGGAAUUGCAUCCGAAACUGGUGGACUUGAGGACGGUAGAGGCAGGUGGAAUACCGGGUGUACCGGUGAAAUGGGCAGAUAUCCGGUGGAACACCAGUGGCGAAGGCGGCCUGCUGGGCCGUUCCUGACGCUGAGACCCGAAAGCCAGGGGAGCAAACCGG
RNAcentral lists this ribosomal RNA (253 nucleotides) under uncultured bacterium. RNAcentral's name for it is "partial 16S ribosomal RNA". It matches the Rfam family "Bacterial small subunit ribosomal RNA", at positions 524 to 776 of the family's 1533-position model. The record is from RNAcentral.